GCUGCCGACAGGGAGCUUUGUUUUUACUUCGUUCCGGCCUCUGGUUUUUGGAGAUGGCCUUUAAAGAUUUGUUUCUGAUUUUAUCUCAAAGGCGGUGAGGAAAAGCCUAUGGGUCGGGCUCCAGAAGAAACAUCCGGGAGGAGGCCCCUGAGCCUGGGACCGUGGGGCGGGGGCUGCAGGGGUCCCAGGAGGAGGCGCUCCCGGCCCCGCACAGCCCUGUGGCUGCAGCCCCUGCCUGGGCCUGUGGGCCGGCUGUGUGGUGGUCCUGGGGCAGGGCUCACAGAGCCUCACUCCCCAGAACGCCAGCCUGUGUCCCCGAAGGGUCCCCUCUCCUUGGAGGGGUUUAGUCCCACCGGUGGAUGAACUUGGCAUGGCUGGGCUGGUUUCAAGGGAGGGCUCUGCCCACCGUCAUCACGUGUCAGCAACGCCCCGCUGAGCCCUCUGUCCUUCGCCUUCUGGCCCAGCCAGGCGCCUGGAGCACUCAGUGGCCCUGCUGAACGUCACAGAGGCUGCCGGGCACGCGGGGACGGGGACUCGCCCGCUGGGAACAGGUGUGAGGGCCCAGCUCUGACCGGCAGGUGCCUGGAAGGGCUUCUCCUUGGAUGAGAGCUGCCUUCAGCCCCUCGGUCGGGAACCUCUUGGGCCACCCUGGCAGCCUCCGCCCUGUGGGUUUCUCUCUCUGGGAGAUGUUUACUUUCCUGGCAGUUGGCCACCGUGGCACUCACAGAAAAGGGCAGGGCGGCCCCUCAGACCCUUUCCCGAGGCCACACCGCCCUGAAAGCAGGCUGCGUGCCCUGAGCAGAAGCAGGGACCGGGGCCUCUCCUCCCAGCUGGGCCCCGGGAUUCUGAGACCCAUCUCUAAGGCCAGCCGGGCCCCGGGAUUCUGAGACCCAUCUGUAAGGCCAGCCGGGCCCCGGGAUUCUGAGACCCAUCUCUAAGGCCAGGGCAGGGCUGGGGCAGGGGGCAUUUAUUAAGUUCUUAGGGAAAAAAAAAGCAAAAUUAACACAGAAACAAAUGGAUGAACCAGCAAUGGGCGGGGCCCGCCUGUGGACUCUGCCCCGGCCCUGCUCAGGGCUCUCUGGCCCCAGCUCCUUCCCUGGCGAGACACCCACCCUGCCCUGUGCCACCAGCAGCUUCAGGAGCAAAUGUUCCAGAAAGGAAGAGGAAGCGGCCAGGCAGGAAUUGCAUUAAACCUGUCCAUCAAUCUGGAAGGAACUGUCAUCUCCACUCUGUUGUGCCUUUCAACCCACGAACGUGGCCGUCUCUCUAGGUGUGUGCUGACGUCUUUCAGCAGCAUUGCCGAGUUGUCAGCAUGUUUAAAUCACAAAUGGAUGUUAAACUUGUCAAGUGCUUCCCCACAGUGACGGAUGUGAUCAUAGAUGGGGUCUUCCUGUGUUGCCUCAUGGCAAGAGGCUGGCUUCAACGUCCUGGGUUCCAACAAUCUUCCCACCUCAGCCUCCUGAGUAGCUGGAACUACAGGUGCGUGCCAUGGCACCCAGCUGAGCACCUCCUGGCUGAGAAGCAGACGAUCCGACUGUGCGCUCCUCCCUCACGACCUGACGAUGGGAAACCUUCCUCCGGGCCAGCUCCAGGGUCCCCAGGCACCGAGGAGGCCGCAAUCUGGGGUGGGGGCUGAGGGGCUCUGAAGGCUGCUGAGAUGGGGGCAGUAACAGAGAAGACCCAUACUGAGCCUGGAAGGACGAGUCCUGGGGCCAGGUCCCCAGUGAGCCAGGAGGUGAACAUCUGCCUGUCCAGGCUCCAAGGUCUCGGGCUCCCAGGGCUGCUGGUGGACACAUGGCAGGCAAGUUACCUGGGGCUUCACGCUAAUUCACAGGAAGGUGGCCUGAGGGCACCAGCUAGGAGGGCAGCCUCCCCACCAGAGGCUCUGGGAUGGAGACUCCCCAUGAGAAGGGAACCCCAUCGCCCCUCUGCCCCAGCUCCCCGUAAUACCAGUGCUGGGGAAGCAGCCCUGGAAGCAUCGCUUGGCCAGGAGCACCCUGCCCGGGCUGCCAGACUCAGGGCCCAGCUGCUCCACUGCCUCUCUGGACCUCAGCGCCCCCUCCCACCCCUACCCUCCAGCUCCUCUGCUGGGGCCUCCAGACAGCUGUGAGCAACUCCAGAGGGUGCAGCUGUCCCGGCUCCCAAGUGUUCCUGGAGGGAAAAUCCAGAGCUAUGUUUUCCAUCAGAAUUGGCGGCUGAUGGUGCAGGGGAGGGGUGGGCAGUCCAGACUCUGUUCCUACAACCUCCAGGGGGCUGCUUAGUCCCAACCAUGUGGGGCAGGGGAUGCAAACGCUUGUGAGAGUCGCCACCCCAGGUCUUGCCACGCGGGCGUCUCCAAUCCCCCAUGCUCUGCCCCACCCUGGACCCUACCCCACACUGUCCUCAGAUCCCCUCCCGUACCCCAGUGGGGCCCCAUCCCUGCCUCCUGCUCCUCUUUGGGAGGCCCUAGCUCUCCCCCAAAACCUUGUCUUCUGGUCACAGUGCUCAGGGUCCUUGGCGUCUCCCCUGCACCCCAGCUCCCCUGGUGGAGUCUGGAAAGCCAGCCCCGGUGUGGGGAGGAGGCUGACCUCCCCGAUGGCUGCCACCUCUGGCUCCCGAGAAUCUCACCCCACAGGGCUCCCUCCUUGGGAUGUCACCAAGUCCCUGCCCAGGGUGGGCCAGGCUGCAGGGCCCACAGGAGUCCCCUGCUCAGUUCACCAUGGGCCCUGGGGCUCCUGGAGUGAGGGCCCCGCCUGUCCUUCUUGCCUCUCCAGGCCAGGAGCAGAGCAGGCACCCGGAGGACGCCUCAACAAAGGUGUGAACCGCGGCGCCCUGCCUGGCCAGGGACCUUGGCCGUGGCGUCCAGAGUAGCUGUCCUGGCUCCUCUCACCAUGGCAGGUUUGGUUUGAGGUGGGCUAUGAGGCAGGGGUGGGACCAGCCUUGAUGCCAAGGCUGAUGGGGGGGGCCCUUUUUGCUCCCAGCAGGCCCCACCUUCUGCCUCUGCAGGAGGGAAGGGGCACUUCCUGUAAACAGGUGGGGUGUGGGUACAGCUGGGUGGGACCCCGGCAGACACCCGGAUUUGGGGGAGGCCCCUGAACAGCGGAGAGCGUCUUACCUGGGCGGGGGCCUGCUUGCGAAGGGGUUGUGUGCCAGCAGGGACAGGGCCUCAGCGUCGCUGGCCAGGAGCUUGCCAGCCAGGUGGAGGAUCCAGUCAUUGUGCUCGUAGGUCUGGGAGGAGAGGUCGGGCUGGAGAUGGCUGCGCCACGCGCUGUCCAGGCACAGCCCCUCCAGAUGCUCAGCCGUGCCCUCCACUCCCUCCCGCGCCAGCCUCUCUGUCUGUCCAGCAGCAUGUGGUCCUGAGGCUUUCCUGGAGGUGGGUUCCCUGGGCGGUCACACCCCAGUUCUUUGGCUGGGGUCCCCUUAAGGGGCCGCCUGCUUCGCAUGCUCCUUGUAGCCCUGACCACUCAUUCCCAGGCUGGCCGCUGGCCUCACUCCCCUGCCUGGGUGCCUCGGAGCCUGUCUGCCCCAGCUCCCUCUGUCUGGGCCCUGCCUCCCUGAGGCUCAGUUUUCUGGUGGCUGAGAUGGGACCAGGAGGACAGAAACAGCAGCUCUGUCCGUGAGUGCCUCUGCUACCCCAGCCCUGAGGAUUCCUUCCUUCCUGCUUUUUUUUUUUUUUUUUUUUG
Non-coding RNA from Macaca mulatta (Rhesus monkey), 3662 nucleotides. Lineage: Eukaryota; Metazoa; Chordata; Mammalia; Primates; Cercopithecidae. The record is from RefSeq and is a predicted model, not a curated record.